UGGGGAAUAUUGGGCAAUGGAGGGAACUCUGACCCAGCAACGCCGCGUGAAUGAUGAAGGUCUUCGGAUUGUAAAGUUCUGUGACGGGGGACGAAGAAAGUGACGGUACCCCGAAAGCAAGCUACGGCUAACUACGUGCCAGCAGCCGCGGUAAUACGUAGGUAGCAAGCGUUGUCCGGAAUGACUGGGCGUAAAGGGUGCGUAGGUGGCUAGGCAAGUUGGUAGUGAAAUUCCGGGGCUUAACUCCGGCGCUACUACCAAGACUGUUUAGCUUGAGUACAGGAGAGGUAAGUGGAAUUCCUAGUGUAGCGGUGGAAUGCGUAGAUAUUAGGAGGAACACCGGUGGCGAAAGCGACUUACUGGCCUGCAACUGACACUGAGGCACGAAAGCGUGGGGAGCAAACAGG
RNAcentral lists this ribosomal RNA (407 nucleotides) under uncultured bacterium. Its description in RNAcentral is "bacterial SSU rRNA". It matches the Rfam family "Bacterial small subunit ribosomal RNA", at positions 355 to 776 of the family's 1533-position model. The record is from RNAcentral.